This 1058-nucleotide long non-coding RNA is filed under the name Homo sapiens (human). RNAcentral describes it as "HSALNT0362248". The record is from RNAcentral. Lineage: Eukaryota; Metazoa; Chordata; Mammalia; Primates; Hominidae.
GCGGCCGCCUCACUCCCGGAGGAACCCGACGGCGGUGGCGGUCCGGACGACUUGCUGCCGCUCCCGCUGUGGCUGGUGGCCGAGGGCAUCUUCAGACCGCAAGGAGAGAGAAGAAAAAGCGGGAGGAAGGACAAGAGCGGCCAGUCAGGAGACGGACGGGGCGAGACGCGGGACAAAACGCGCAGCGAGCGGUUUACCUAACACUGUAAAGAGAACGUUCAAUGAAAUACAAAGAAAAAGAUGAUUUUUUUGCUCCAAGAGAAUUAUUCCAGCCUUGGGGUGGAGUGGGUGUGGACAGUGAGCAGAAAAACAAGAAACCAAGUUCUGGGAGGAAAUAAAAUGAAUAUAAUCAGUGGAAAAUUCAGCAACGCAAUAUUGUGUGACAACAGUAAAUGACCAAUUUAUAAUUUAAAUUCUAUGAAAAAGAGAUUUAGAAGAGAGUUCUACCAAACCCACUGUUCCCUAGGGAAUAAAAUGAGUAACGCUGACUGGCAACAGUGCAUCCUGAGGGAGCCUGGAGAAACAACAGCAGCCUCCGACCUCAAGAUAUCCUGGUAGUGCUGUGACAGUGUCUUAAGUAGGGCAUGUUGAUAGAUGGAAAAGGACGGCAAACUCGAGGUGCUGAUUCAGGAAGAAGCAGAUUCCAAGAUGGAAGAGAAAAUAUCGAGAGAAAUAUGCCGAGAGAAGAAUCCAGGCAGAAUGGAAUCCAGGCAGAAUGGUGAAUGGAAGGUUCGGGUGACCAAGAGAAAGGAAGGGUGACUCAGCAAGUCUGUAGUUUCAGCUCUUGUAUAGUACGUUAUACUUGAAAAGCUGAAGCCUUUUCUCGGGGAAGAGUCAGAACGGCCUGGAGGGCUUGCUAAAGCGCUGCUGGCUGGGCCCCGCCCGCUGAAUGACUAAUGGAGACUCUGAGGGCCGGCUGGUAAUUUGAGUUUCUAACAAGCCCUGUUUCGAUGCUGGUACAGCCGAUCUAGGGAAAAUAUUGGAACAAGGAAAAAACUAAGAAGAAAUUUUAAAAAGUAAUCAAAGGCGGCCAAGUGAGGUGGCUCACGCCUGUGAUC